Molecule: small nuclear RNA, 105 nt
Organism: Balaenoptera musculus (blue whale)
Lineage: Eukaryota; Metazoa; Chordata; Mammalia; Artiodactyla; Balaenopteridae
Source: Ensembl
GAUUAGCUUCUGCUGUCAUAUACUAAAAUUGGAACGAUACAGAGAAGAUUAACAUGGCCCCUGCGCAAGGAUGACACUCAAAUUCGUGAAGCGUUCCAUAGUUUU